UCUUAGACAAUGGGCGCAAGCCUGAUCUAGCCAUGCCGCGUAGUGUGACAGAAGGCUCUUAGGGUCUGAUAAAGCACUUUCGCCUGUAGAUGAUAAUGACAGUAGCAGGUAAAGAAACCCCGGCUAACUCCGUGCCAGCAGCCGCGGUAAUACGGAGGGGGUUAGCGUUGUUCGGAAUUACUGGGCGUAAAGCGCACGUAGGCGGAUUGGAAAGUAUGGGGUGAAAUCCCAGGGCUCAACCCUGAGAACUGCCUCAUAAACUUCCAGUCUAGAGUUCGAGAGAGGUGAGUGGAAUUCCGAGUGUAGAGGUGAAAUUCGUAGAUAUUCGGAGGAACACCAGUGGCGAAGGCGGCUCACUGGCUCAGAUACUGACGCUGAGGUGCGAAAGUGUGGGGAGCAAACAGGAUUAGAUACCCUGGUAGUCCACACCGUAAACGAUGAAUGC
This 445-nucleotide ribosomal RNA is filed under the name uncultured delta proteobacterium. RNAcentral's name for it is "bacterial SSU rRNA". It matches the Rfam family "Bacterial small subunit ribosomal RNA", at positions 362 to 816 of the family's 1533-position model. Lineage: Bacteria; Deltaproteobacteria. The record is from RNAcentral.